Molecule: ribosomal RNA, 468 nt
Filed under: uncultured bacterium
Lineage: Bacteria
Description: partial 16S ribosomal RNA
Rfam family: Bacterial small subunit ribosomal RNA
Source: RNAcentral
GACGAACGCUGGCGGCGUGCUUAACACAUGCAAGUCGAACGGAAAGGCCCUGCUUUUGUGGGGUGCUCGAGUGGCGAACGGGUGAGUAACACGUGAGUAACCUGCCCUUGACUUUGGGAUAACUUCAGGAAACUGGGGCUAAUACCGGAUAGGAGCUCCUGCUGCAUGGUGGGGGUUGGAAAGUUUCGGCGGUUGGGGAUGGACUCGCGGCUUAUCAGCUUGUUGGUGGGGUAGUGGCUUACCAAGGCUUUGACGGGUAGCCGGCCUGAGAGGGUGACCGGCCUCAAUGGGACUGAGAGACGGCCCAGACUCCUACGGGAGGCAGCAGUGGGGAAUAUUGCACAAUGAGCGGAAGCCGGAUGCAGCAACGCCGCGUGCGUGAAGACGGCCUUCGGGUUGUAAACAGCUUUCGCCUGUGACGAAGCGGGAGUGACGGUAAUGGGUAAAGAAGCACCGGCUAACUACGUG